GCUUACACAUGCAGUCGANGAUGAAGCCCAGCUUGCUGGGUGGAUUAGUGGCGAACGGGUGAGUAACACGUGAGUAACCUGCCCUUAACUCUGGGAUAAGCCUGGGAAACUGGGUCUAAUACCGGAUAGGAGCGCCUACCGCAUGGUGGGUGUUGGAAAGAUUUAUCGGUUUUGGAUGGACUCGCGGCCUAUCAGCUUGUUGGUGAGGUAAUGGCUCACCAAGGCGACGACGGGUAGCCGGCCUGAGAGGGUGACCGGCCACACUGGGACUGAGACACGGCCCAGACUCCUACGGGAGGCAGCAGUGGGGAAUAUUGCACAAUGGGCGCAAGCCUGAUGCAGCGACGCCGCGUGAGGGAUGACGGCCUUCGGGUUGUAAACCUCUUUCAGUAGGGAAGAAGCGAAAGUGACGGUACCUGCAGAAGAAGCACCGGCUAACUACGUGCCAGCAGCGGCGGUAAUAAA
Molecule: ribosomal RNA, 465 nt
Filed under: Micrococcus sp.
Lineage: Bacteria; Bacillati; Actinomycetota; Actinomycetes; Micrococcales; Micrococcaceae
Description: bacterial SSU rRNA
Rfam family: Bacterial small subunit ribosomal RNA
Source: RNAcentral